AUAAAAGCAAUGAUAAGGACGAGUAAAGCAAUAAUUGCUAACAGAGAGGAAAUGUCACCGGCUGAAAGCAUUUCCAAGUAAAUGUGCUUGAAAACCACCUUGUAGCUUUAGGCUGAAACAACAGUAAGCCCAUACGGUGAUUACGUUAUAAUCCAUGAGAUCAAACUAGGGUGGAACCGCGAAUAGACUCUCGCCCCUUUU
Molecule: non-coding RNA, 201 nt
Filed under: Clostridiales bacterium
Lineage: Bacteria; Bacillati; Bacillota; Clostridia; Eubacteriales
Description: T-box sequence
Rfam family: T-box leader
About the family: Uncharged tRNA acts as the effector for transcription antitermination of genes in the T-box leader family. T-boxes are found upstream of many aminoacyl-tRNA synthetase genes and some amino acid biosynthetic genes usually in Gram-positive bacteria.
Source: RNAcentral